CGAAAGCCUGACGGAGCAAGACCGCGUGGGGGAGGAAGGCUCUAGGGUUGUAAACCCCUUUUCUUUGGGAAGAACAAAAUGACGGUACCAAAGGAAUCAGCCUCGGCUAACUCCGUGCCAGCAGCCGCGGUAAUACGGAGGAGGCAAGCGUUAUCCGGAAUGAUUGGGCGUAAAGCGUCCGCAGGUGGCAAUGUAAGUCUGCUGUCAAAACCCAGGGCUCAACUCUGGUCACGCAGUGGAAACUACAUAGCGAGAGUUCGGUAGGGGCAAAGGGAUUUCCCGGUGUAGCGGUAAAAUGCGUAGAGAUCGGGAAGAACAUCGGUGGCGAAAGCGCUUUGCUAGACCUAAACUGACACUCAGGGACGAAAGCUAGGGGAGCG
Molecule: ribosomal RNA, 380 nt
Filed under: uncultured cyanobacterium
Lineage: Bacteria; Bacillati; Cyanobacteriota
Description: bacterial SSU rRNA
Rfam family: Bacterial small subunit ribosomal RNA
Source: RNAcentral